UCAGAUGUCCUGAGAUUUGCAUUAUAUGUUAAAAAAUGUUGCAAUGUUUCAUUGCUCGAAAAAAAUGUUUCAACAUGAAUUGUUUUAUGAUGUUUCAUCUUUCACUGAAGAAUGUUUCACCGCUUUAACGAAAAUGUUUCAAUCAAAUGUAACACUCAAGAACGGUAACAACAACAACAAAAACACAUUAUGUGCAACAUCCAAUAUUGAUUUAAAAAACAUUUAGAAAAGACAUAUUGCAACAUCGCAAAAACACUGUAUGCAACAAUGCUCGCUAGCUCGACCUCGUCCGAGCGCCGCCACCGGAGCCUAGGCACAGUGGAGGCGUGCUUCGCCCCUACCUCCCCUCGGGCCGCCGCACCGCCGCGCUUCUCUGCUCCGGCACCGCCACCGCCUCGUCGCUCCGCGUCCGCCCGCUUCUUGUCGUUGCUAGCACACACAUGGGGAGAUAAGAGAGAAAAAUGAAUGGUUGGAAAUAAAGAUUAGAUUGACUGCCGGAGAAAGAAGAUAGAGAGAGUAGUUAGGUGGGACCCACUAGGUUAGCGUCCGAUUUUUUAUCAUAUGCCGGACGUACGAGUUAAAGCAUUUUCGGAAGAAUACCAGUACUACCGCUCUAGACAUGUACUCCCUCCGUUUCAGGUCAUAAGAUGUUUUAACUUUGGUCAAAGUCAAACCGCUUCAAGUUUGCCCAAGUUUAUAUAAAAAAAUAGUAAUAUUUUUGACUUGAGAUAUUAUAAAAUUAUAUGUAAUUAUUAAUUAAAAAAACUAAUUUAGUAAUGUAAAUAUUAUUAUAUUUAUCUAUAAACGUAGAUAAAUUUAAAGCAGUUUGUGUUGGACUAUUCUUAUAGCUUGAAACGGAGCUGAGUAUCUUACCACUGUUGUAAAUUUGUUGUGAACCUUGUGAUGCCCUCGCUGGACUGUUCCUUGGAUCAAAGACGUGGC
Molecule: long non-coding RNA, 942 nt
Filed under: Oryza sativa (Asian cultivated rice)
Lineage: Eukaryota; Viridiplantae; Streptophyta; Magnoliopsida; Poales; Poaceae
Description: long non-coding RNA (OSAT_LNC000540)
Source: RNAcentral